AACGAACGCUGGCGGCAGGCUUAACACAUGCAAGUCGAGCGCAUCCUUCGGGGUUAUCGGCGGACGGGUGAGUAACGCGUGGGAACGUGCCCUCUUCUACGGAAUAGCCUCGGGAAACUGAGAGUAAUGCCGUAUACGCCCGCAAGGGGAAAGAUUUAUCGGAGGAGGAUCGGCCCGCGUUGGAUUAGGUAGUUGGUGGGGUAAUGGCCUACCAAGCCGACGAUCAAUAGCUGGUUUGAGAGGAUGAUCAGCCACACUGGGACUGAGACACGGCCCAGACUCCUACGGGAGGCAGCAGUGGGGAAUCUUGGACAAUGGGGGCAACCCUGAUCCAGCCAUGCCGCGUGAUCGAUGAAGGCCUUAGGGUUGUAAAGAUCUUUCAGCUGGGAAGAUAAUGACGGUACCAGCAGAAGAAGCCCCGGCUAACUCCGUG
RNAcentral lists this ribosomal RNA (433 nucleotides) under uncultured bacterium. RNAcentral's name for it is "partial 16S ribosomal RNA". It matches the Rfam family "Bacterial small subunit ribosomal RNA", at positions 29 to 507 of the family's 1533-position model. The record is from RNAcentral.